UAAAAGGGGGAUAAUCUUCAAUUCUAGCAUGUCCACGUCAGCAUAAAUAAUCCUCCAAUCAGAAUUGAAUGUUGUGCUAUGUCAGUGUUUGCCUUUUCCAAUCGAGCAUACCAACGAGAUUGCUUCGCCAUUUGAUGACCUUUCCCAUUUCUUUUUCUUAGCAGUUCUGUAUUAUCAACCCCAUCGAGCAAAUUGGAGAAAUACAUCGGCCGGUUAGUCGGGAAACAGUAAUCUAGGUCAAGAUUGAAACACUAAAAGACAAAGAUCAACAGGAUGCAAGGAGAAAUCGGUCAAGGGUGAAAAGACGAGGAAGCAUAGCUUCCGGCUCCAUUGAACACAGACGAUUUCAAGGGCAGGAUUUCGCCAUGCCGGUGUGUCCAAGACCGGCGUUGGAUCCAUCACCAGUUACCGCCAGAUCCGUCGACACCAUCUCACUCCCCGACAAUCAGACGAGCCUCCACCGCCCCGAUGACUAACCAGUCGCCGCCGUCAGUCUCCCAGUCGUCCUCAAUCCGGGAGAGCCACCGUUGGAGAACGAGCCACCAGAGCUUUCGAGCCCUCCUAUGAACCUCCGCACCAGAGAUCCUUUAGAUCCGCCAAGAUGGAAAGAGAGACAGCUUCAACGACAUCACCGAACGACCACUACUCCGUCACGUUGUUCAUAAUCCGAAGGGGAGGAGGCGCCAUAGAUCUUGCCACCUCCAAAACCCUAGACUGCGCCGCACAAGAGGAGAGAGCUAGAGAGACGCGCGUGAGUUUACUUGCCAAAUGAGCACAACAAAAACUCCGCUUCACUAGAUCUCAGCAGAGCAGGAGUAUUUUCGAGCAAACUCCAUCUCGACCAGUCUUUGGAAAUCAUUUCUCAGCAGAUGCACAUGCCGUGUGUUGCUGCUGAUUUUUGAGUUUGUAAUCAACCAAACACUAUGCCUUUCAUAUGUUCAUCUCUGCACUUCUUCAGGUCCCUUCCUUUUUUUUUAUUCUAGCAACUUAACUUCUACUGCAUCCUCUAAUAGUUUCAUUGUCCAUUCAAAAUAUUUUUUAUCUCAACUAUGUGAUAGCUUUGGCAUGUUAUUUAGACAAUUAGCCAGAUUUGUAUUGGAAGAUGAAGAUGCAGCCAAAAGGGGCCGACGGACUCCUUUUACCCUACAUGGAAACCAGAACUACAUAGAGAUCCCUACAGGCACUGUAUGCGGUGGUUGGGACAAUGUAUGGGGUAACUAACUUCUUCAAUGUUUCUUUGAAUACAGUGCUAUGCUCUCACAUAAAUUCGAAGAGUUCUUUAAUGUAUUGUUUGUUUACCAUGAAAGCAGUUGGUUAUGAUUGAAAAUACAAUUCAAGUUGUGCAGAGGCUCCUAUGCAGUUUGGGAUUUUCAAAUCCAGUCUCUUUUUUUUUUUUUAUCUUUCAUCACUCUCUCUCUUCACAUUUUGCUCAAUAAAAGGGAAAUGAAGUUGUCAGUGUUGUAAAUACAAUUCUGGUGGUAUAUUUAAGGUCAGAAUCUCUAUUUUGAGUGGGAUCUGAUGAAUGUGGGUAUCAUUCUCAUUUCUCUUCGCCGAGAAAGAUGACGUGGAGGCUGCUCUAGACUCCCGGUUAAGUCCAUAAGAUCAGUGAUGACAAAGCAUGGAAAACUAUAAAGAAAUCUGGUGCGGAGGGAUGAAGAAUACUCUAGAGCCCACGAUCUUGAAGUGGUGAAAUGGUUGUCGAGAAAUCCGUUCACUUCAAAUGGAUGCAACUGGAGAGAAUGAUCACGCUUAACAUGUCUGUCUUGAAAGAAGAUUACACAAAAUAGAAUGGCUUUGAGUUGACUUUGAGUUAAACAAUCUCGAGUUUGUUAGAGAAAUCUCAGUUUUUGAUCAGAGCAGCUAAGUUUGGCAAAGUUUUGUCAAAGAAUGGAAAGGCACAAAAGCUUGCUUUACAACACUCGCUUGAGGCGCAUAUUGACCCUUAGACAUUGGUAUGGACACAAUGUUUAUUUUUACUACAAGUUGCUCCGCUGUCAGAGUAGAGACCCCUUACUUCUACUGGUUUGAUAUUGACGAGGGGGAAGAAGUAAACCUUGUGGAGAAGUGUCCUCAGUUGAAACUUCUGCAACAGUGCAUCAAUCACAUUGGUCCGCUUCUAAGGUUGCUGUGGAAAACGGGAAAUUAUUCUACAAGAACAGUGGAGAAAUGCUUUAAACUUCUUCUAUGGAAGAUAGUGAUUCCAAAUGGAUUUGGUGCUCAACACAUCGACAGUGUUGUGCGUUGGGGAGAAGAAGGGUACGUUUCAACAUUCAAGCUUCUUAGCUGGAGGAGCAACUGUUGCUGCAUGAAGAUUUGUUAUUGAGAAUGGUGUUCUUAAAGGCUGCUUGGCCGUGGUCCUUGCUUGGUUGCAAGUUUUAAAAAUUUUAGUAUAGUAGAUCUUAUAAAAAGAUAGAUUAAAUUUUUUA
Long non-coding RNA from Brassica oleracea var. oleracea, 2426 nucleotides. RefSeq lists it as uncharacterized. The record is from RefSeq and is a predicted model, not a curated record. Lineage: Eukaryota; Viridiplantae; Streptophyta; Magnoliopsida; Brassicales; Brassicaceae. The transcript is spliced from 6 exons.